Molecule: ribosomal RNA, 773 nt
Filed under: uncultured bacterium
Lineage: Bacteria
Description: bacterial SSU rRNA
Rfam family: Bacterial small subunit ribosomal RNA
Source: RNAcentral
AGAGUUUGAUCAUGGCUCAGGACGAACGCUGGCGGCGUGCUUAACACAUGCAAGUCGAACGGAAAGGCCCUUCGGGGUACUCGAGUGGCGAACGGGUGAGUAACACGUGGGUGAUCUGCCCUGCACUCUGGGAUAAGCCUGGGAAACUGGGUCUAAUACCGGAUAGGACCGCAUGCUUCAUGGUGUGUGGUGCAAAGCUUUUGCGGUGUGGGAUGAGCCCGCGGCCUAUCAGCUUGUUGGUGGGGUAAUGGCCUACCAAGGCGACGACGGGUAGCCGGCCUGAGAGGGUGACCGGCCACACUGGGACUGAGAUACGGCCCAGACUCCUACGGGAGGCAGCAGUGGGGAAUAUUGCACAAUGGGCGCAAGCCUGAUGCAGCGACGCCGCGUGAGGGAUGACGGCCUUCGGGUUGUAAACCUCUUUCAGUACGGACGAAGCGAAAGUGACGGUACCUACAGAAGAAGGACCGGCCAACUACGUGCCAGCAGCCGCGGUAAUACGUAGGGUCCGAGCGUUGUCCGGAAUUACUGGGCGUAAAGAGCUCGUAGGUGGUUUGUCGCGUUGUUCGUGAAAACUCACAGCUUAACUGUGGGCGUGCGGGCGAUACGGGCAGACUAGAGUACUGCAGGGGAGACUGGAAUUCCUGGUGUAGCGGUGGAAUGCGCAGAUAUCAGGAGGAACACCGGUGGCGAAGGCGGGUCUCUGGGCAGUAACUGACGCUGAGGAGCGAAAGCGUGGGUAGCGAACAGGAUUAGAUACCCUGGUAGUCCAA